RNAcentral lists this ribosomal RNA (253 nucleotides) under uncultured bacterium. Its description in RNAcentral is "partial 16S ribosomal RNA". It matches the Rfam family "Bacterial small subunit ribosomal RNA", at positions 524 to 776 of the family's 1533-position model. The record is from RNAcentral.
UACGUAGGGGGCUAGCGUUGUCCGGAAUCAUUGGGCGUAAAGCGCGUGUAGGCGGUUCGGUAAGUCUGCUGUGAAAGUCGGGGGCUCAACCCUCGAAUGCCGGUGGAUACUGUCGGACUAGAGUGCGGAAGAGGCGAGUGGAAUUCCUGGUGUAGCGGUGAAAUGCGCAGAUAUCAGGAGGAACACCAAUGGCGAAGGCAGCUCGCUGGGACGUGACUGACGCUGAGACGCGAAAGCGUGGGGAGCAAACAGG